RNAcentral lists this ribosomal RNA (1237 nucleotides) under metagenome. RNAcentral's name for it is "bacterial LSU rRNA". It matches the Rfam family "Bacterial large subunit ribosomal RNA", at positions 1564 to 2808 of the family's 2925-position model. The record is from RNAcentral.
UGAGUACGAGAUGCUACGGCAUCGAAGCAGUCUAUGUCAUACUUCCAAGAAAAGCUUGCAAUGUCAUAAACAAAUAAUGCCUGUACCAUAACCGACACAGGUGGGUAGGUAGAGUAUACUAAGGGGCGCGAGAUAACUCUCUCUAAGGAACUCGGCAAAAUGACUCCGUAACUUCGGGAGAAGGAGUGCCUUAUUUUUAUAGGGUUGCAAUAACAAGAUCCAAGCAACUGUUUACCAAAAACACAGGUCUCCGCUAAGUCGUAAGACGAUGUAUGGGGGCUGACGCCUGCCCAGUGCCAGAAGGUUAAAGAAGUUGGUUAGCAUUAGCGAAGCUGAUAACUGAAGCCCUGGUGAACGGCGGCCGUAACAAUAACGGUCCUAAGGUAGCGAAAUUCCUUGUCGGGUAAGUUCCGACCCGCACGAAAGGCGUAAUGAUUUGGAUACUGUCUCGGAGAGGGGCUCGGUGAAGUAGACUUGUCUGUGAAGAUGCGGACUACCUGCACCUGGACAGAAAGACCCUAUGAAGCUUUACUGUAACUUGAGAUUGAAAUUGGACUUUAUCUGCGCAGUAUAGGUGGGAGACGUUGAAAAUAUUCUUGCGGGAAUAUUGGAGUCAUCAGUGAGAUACCACUCUUAUAAUGUUAGAUUUCUAACUUUGUAUCAUUAUCUGGUCAAAGAACAGUUUCAGGCGGGCAGUUUGACUGGGGCGGUCGCCUCCCAAACGGUAACGGAGGCGCACAAAGGUUUCCUCUGAACGUGUAGAAAUCGUAUCUAGAGUGUAAAGGCAUAAGGAAGCUUGACUGUUAGACCUACAAGUCGAGCAGGGACGAAAGUCGGUCUUAGUGAUCUGACGGUGCUGAGUGGAAAGGCCGUCACUCAACGGAUAAAAGUUACUCUAAGGAUAACAGGCGGAUCUCCCCCAAGAGUUCACAUCGACGGGGAGGUUUGGCACCUCGAUGUCGGCUCAUCGCAUCCUGGGGCGGUAGUACGUCCCAAGGGUUGGGCUGUUUGCCCAUGAAAGCGGUACGCGAGCUGGGUUCAGAACGUCGUGAGACAUUUCGGUCCAUAUCCGGUGUAGGCGUUAGAAUAUUGAGAGGAGCCUUCUUUAGUACGAGAGGACCGAGAAGGACAUACCUCUGGUGUACCAGUUAUCGUGCCAACGGUAAACGCUGGGUAGCCAUGUAUGGAGAGGAUAACCGCUGAAAGCAUCUAAGUGGGAAGCCCACCUUAAGAUAAG